UACGUAGGGUGCAAGCGUUGCUCGGAAUUACUGGGCGUAAAGCGUGCGCAGGCGGUUUUGUAAGUCUGAUGUGAAAUCCCCGGGCUCAACCUGGGAAUUGCAUUGGAGACUGCAAGGCUAGAAUCUGGCAGAGGAGAGUAGAAUUCCACGUGUAGCAGUGAAAUGCGUAGAGAUGUGGAGGAACACCGAUGGCGAAGGCAGCCCCCUGGGUCAAGAUUGACGCUCAUGCACGAAAGCGUGGGGAGCAAACAGG
This 253-nucleotide ribosomal RNA is filed under the name uncultured bacterium. Its description in RNAcentral is "partial 16S ribosomal RNA". It matches the Rfam family "Bacterial small subunit ribosomal RNA", at positions 524 to 776 of the family's 1533-position model. The record is from RNAcentral.